This 299-nucleotide long non-coding RNA is filed under the name Homo sapiens (human). RNAcentral describes it as "non-protein coding LINC00092:13". The record is from RNAcentral. Lineage: Eukaryota; Metazoa; Chordata; Mammalia; Primates; Hominidae.
GUCAGACCUAGGCUCUCGCAGAGAACUGCAUCGCGCUCCCAGCUCUGCUGCCUCGGUGCGGGGACGGGGCUCUGCAUGAGGACUGGGAAUGUAAGUCCCGGGCCUGGACAGGCGCCCCUGGGAGCUAGCCUGGAGGAGAUUCAGUAGAAGGCUGAGGAGUCGGCUUGGAGGGUCUCGGCAAGGCGGCGCGGAUGGAGAUGAAGCUGCGAAGAAUGCUGAGAAAGAGCGGCCGGGGGCCUUGGAGGGAAGCUAGGGAAACGCUGCGGGGGCAGCCGAGGCCGUCGGCGCCCCGGGAGAAG